RNAcentral lists this ribosomal RNA (497 nucleotides) under uncultured bacterium. RNAcentral describes it as "partial 16S ribosomal RNA". It matches the Rfam family "Bacterial small subunit ribosomal RNA", at positions 28 to 507 of the family's 1533-position model. The record is from RNAcentral.
GAUGAACGCUGUCGGCGUGCCUAAUACAUGCAAGUCGAGCGAACGGACGAGAAGCUUGCUUCUCUGAUGUUAGCGGCGGGCGGGUGAGUAACACGUGGAUAACCUACCUAUAAGACUGGGAUAACUUCGGGAAACCGGAGCUAAUACCGGAUGAUAUUUUGAACCGCAUGGUUCAAAAGUGAAAGACGGUCUUGCUGUCACUUAUAGAUGGAUCCGCGCUGCAUUAGCUAGUUGGUAAGGUAACGGCUUACCAAGGCAACGAUGCAUAGCCGACCUGAGAGGGUGAUCGGCCACACUGGAACUGAGACACGGUCCAGACUCCUACGGGAGGCAGCAGUAGGGAAUCUUCCGCAAUGGGCGAAAGCCUGACGGAGCAACGCCGCGUGAGUGAUGAAGGUCUUCGGAUCGUAAAACUCUGUUAUUAGGGAAGAACAUAUGUGUAAGUAACUGUGCACAUCUUGACGGUACCUAAUCAGAAAGCCACGGCUAACUACGUG